GCCUGAGUGGCUCAGUCAGUUAAGCAUCUGACUUCGGCUCAGGUCAUGAUCCCAUGGUUCAUGAGUUCAAGCCCCGUGUCAGGCU
RNAcentral lists this transfer RNA (85 nucleotides) under Felis catus (domestic cat). It matches the Rfam family "tRNA". Rfam says of the family: Transfer RNA (tRNA) molecules are approximately 80 nucleotides in length. Their secondary structure includes four short double-helical elements and three loops (D, anti-codon, and T loops). Further hydrogen bonds mediate the characteristic L-shaped molecular structure. tRNAs have two regions of fundamental functional importance: the anti-codon, which is responsible for specific mRNA codon recognition, and the 3' end, to which the tRNAs corresponding amino acid is attached (by aminoacyl-tRNA synthetases). tRNAs cope with the degeneracy of the genetic code in two manners: having more than one tRNA (with a specific anti-codon) for a particular amino acid; and 'wobble' base-pairing, i.e. permitting non-standard base-pairing at the 3rd anti-codon position. RNAcentral also lists the same sequence under 2 other names. Lineage: Eukaryota; Metazoa; Chordata; Mammalia; Carnivora; Felidae. The record is from Rfam by way of RNAcentral.